Molecule: ribosomal RNA, 253 nt
Filed under: uncultured bacterium
Lineage: Bacteria
Description: partial 16S ribosomal RNA
Rfam family: Bacterial small subunit ribosomal RNA
Source: RNAcentral
UACAGAGGUCUCAAGCGUUGUUCGGAUUCAUUGGGCGUAAAGGGUGCGUAGGCGGCGCGGUAAGUCGGGUGUGAAAUCUCGGGGCUUAACUCCGAAACUGCAUUCGAUACUGCCGUGCUUGAGGACUGGAGAGGAGACUGGAAUUUACGGUGUAGCGGUGAAAUGCGUUGAUAUCGAUAGGAACUCCGGUGGCGAAGGCGGCACACUGGACCACCACUGACGCUGAUGCGCGAAAGCCAGGGGAGCAAACGGG